This 253-nucleotide ribosomal RNA is filed under the name uncultured bacterium. Its description in RNAcentral is "partial 16S ribosomal RNA". It matches the Rfam family "Bacterial small subunit ribosomal RNA", at positions 524 to 776 of the family's 1533-position model. The record is from RNAcentral.
UACGUAGGGUCCAAGCGUUAUCCGGAAUCACUGGGCGUAAAGCGUGCGUAGGUGGCGCGUUAAGUGAGAUGUUAAAUCGUGUGGCUCAACCAUAUCGAUGUAUCUCAUACUGGCGUGCUAGAGGACAGCAGAGGCAAGUGGAAUUUGUAGUGUAGCAGUGAAAUGCGUAGAUAUUACAAGGAACACCAAUGGCGAAGGCAGCUCUCUGGGACGGUACUGACGCUGAGACGCGAAAGCGUGGGGAGCGAACAGG